UGCUGCUGCUUCUGUUCCGCACCGUGGAUUGUGGCGUCCGCUUUCGUGGAGCGACGACUCCGGGUGGCACGCCGGGCCGGAUGGGUUCGGGCUUACAGCGCGGUGUGAGGCAGCACGGCGCGUGUGGAUCGAUGGCAAUCCUUUCAAGGGCGCUGGAGUCGGAUCGAAAUAGAUUUGCGGUUUACGGGCCGAAGUGGAGGAACACGCUGCUAGAGCCAGGCCAGGAUCGCGCCGGCUGCGACGAAUGGGAACGGAUCCUUUUGCGAGCAGCUAUGUACGGGAGCUGACUGGCACGGCGGCAACCGCGCGCCGCUGAAGAUUCUGCUUUGGGAGGAGUGCGGAGAGGCUCAGAGUGGCGGGAGAGGGCGUAUCUGCUGACGGUGUUGAGUGUGGGGCUUUACUGCCGAAGCAUCUGAGAUUGCGCGCGGGCUGUAAUGCCAUCGAUUGCUGCAGAGCCGUUAGGUAUACGAAAUACUUUGUAGAGGGAGAUAAAGUAUUGACGACUGCCGCGUCUGCGACUGUGAAUGUCAUUAUCGGCGAAUGGCGAUUUUGUCGUUCUUUGGGACGUCCUUUCUUGUAAGUCGUAUUGCGAUGUAUACGGAGUGAGAAGAGACGAGGAGACCGAAAAGAAAUAAAGCUGGGUGCCCGAUUUUGUUCCACUAUAGAGCGUGUGAAAGAUUCAAAACGCCGAGAUGAUACAUUGUAGCAAUCGAUAUAUCGUGUAUCGAACGCUGACCUGUGUCCGAAGAACGCACGACUGCCGCGUUGUCCAGUAGAUUACAACAAAGAAGUGCGCAUAAGUUGACAAGUUAACGCAGGAUCGCUUGCAAACCGACGCAGAAGACUAAAAGGUUGUUGGGAUCGCCUACAACACUGCAUAAUGAUAUGCCUGCGAGCAUGCGCCGGCUGCAGGCUUAUCGUACGAACACUCACGCGGUGUCACAAGCACUGGUACGAUAGCGUGAUCGUUGAUGCUUUAUAAGCAACCCAUGGAACAAUUAAUGAGAGGGAUUGCUAUGGACCGCUGUCGAAAUGUACUACGUGUGUGCGGCGUGCUUCCCGUAUGGGGCUGCAGGUUUAGCUUGAUCGUGCCCACGUUUUGACAUUUGGUUUAGAUGUUCGCAUUUGACACUUUUAACUGUCUGCUAAUAUGUUCUUUAGUUUGCUUUUAUUUUGAUUAAACGUUAUUUUGUUUCGUGCGCCACCUUUCCCUGCUCGUGAAGGUUUGCUCACUGACCUUAUUACGAAGCAACCCGCUUCAAGGUUUCUGUUUUAAGUAAUCUUUGUGAGCAGAAUAUUUUUUUAAGCAGUCGUUAAAGUGACGCAUUUAUUUCUAUACUUCGGAUGCAUUCUUAUGUGAGUGGUCUCACUUGGUAGCGCUGCAUACUAUCCCUAUAUAGCGAUAUGCCAUAUAAUACUACUGGCAGAUUUCCAAACAAGAUGGAGCACGGCGUUUUCGUUUUUAGUUUUAGCUGAAGCUGAUAUGCGCCGACUGGCGCGAUACAAUGUGUUAUUGGGGAUGAUUUUUUUUCUUUUUUGCUUGCUGCACAGAAGAGGCAUAAACACACGGGAUAGAAGUAUACUAGGACUGGCGUGGACUAACAGCUGCAUACUUUAUUAAGAACAACAACGAUGAAAUUCAGAAAGCAAACCAUCAUCACCUACGCCACGAUGAGAUGGCACGCUCCGCCCCACGACCGACAACAUGGCCUCUGUAUAUCCGAAAAAUUCGUCACAUGCACAGCAACGAAUCGGGACCUGUGUAGUUUAGGACCAACACUCCCAAUUCUUUGUCAAGGAGGAUGAUGUGUCAGCUUCCUGCUGGACUGAAUGUUUCCAUAAGAUUAUUGAGAAAUUU
Long non-coding RNA from Dermacentor silvarum, 1858 nucleotides. RefSeq lists it as uncharacterized. NCBI's taxonomy places the organism in Eukaryota, Metazoa, Arthropoda, Arachnida, Ixodida, Ixodidae. The transcript has 2 exons. The record is from RefSeq and is a predicted model, not a curated record.